GGCCCUGCCCUGCUUUUCUACAUCACCACUGUCUUGUCAGUUAGCUCGGCUCAGGCAUUGCAUGCCUGAUCUGUAUCUUUGGGAAUCCUGUGAGGUAAUGGUUCUAGAUCCAAAAGAAUGGAUAAAGAGACUGUUUCAGUUCCCGAAAUUAUCCAGGCACAUUCUGUGCGCUACUGAACUUCAGAAAGCACCAGUCCAUCCAGUGUGCAGAGGCUGAUGAAAAAGUUAAUAAACAGAAUGGCGACUCCGAUGUUGAGCAAGAUCACCAUGACCACCAGGAUAGGCGCUGAGCCCUGGAAGAGAGCGAGGGGAAGAGGUGAGCGACAGCUGCGGGGGGCUCUGCCUGGGCCACCACGCCUCCCACCCACGUCUUUUCACCAAGCUAGCA
RNAcentral lists this long non-coding RNA (388 nucleotides) under Homo sapiens (human). Its description in RNAcentral is "non-protein coding lnc-KLHDC4-3:3". Lineage: Eukaryota; Metazoa; Chordata; Mammalia; Primates; Hominidae. The record is from RNAcentral.